This 2401-nucleotide long non-coding RNA is filed under the name Podarcis lilfordi (Lilford's wall lizard). The record is from RNAcentral. Lineage: Eukaryota; Metazoa; Chordata; Lepidosauria; Squamata; Lacertidae.
CAGAUUACGAGUCCACCGCUCUUAACCACUACACCACACUGGCUCUGAGAGCUCCUGCACCCAGGUCAUUAUGAUGUCGGGUGAUUGGCACGUGGGUGGUUCCGCCCACCGGCCUCAGGUGGCCCGUGAGUUGUAUAAUCUGGUGAGAAAGGUUGCCCACUCCUGGGCUGGAACAAGGGUGGCCAACAUGGUUCCCUCCAGAUGUUAUUGGACUACAAGCUCCCCAUCCAAAGGAAUACACAUGCCAGAUAAUUAACUUCUUGUCAAAGCUGAUAGUUGUUUCUAUGGGUCCAAAUACACCCCCCCCAAUCUAACUUCUAGACAGCUAUUCCCAGAUCCGUGAUCUGCGGAGCAGUUGCAGCAAUGGGGUCCACUCCCCCUCCAAUAGCUUAAGUAGCUCCCCCUGAUGGGCUGCAAGACAUGCAGCCAGAGACGGUGCCUACAUGGAAACUUCCUCUGCUCCUCCCCUUUUCAACCCGCUCCUGGUUCUGGGAGACAGUGGUGCAGGAGAGGCUGGGGAAGUGCCCGGCCCUUCACUUGCCUAACCUGCCUCUUCCUCCUCGCCUUCCAACCCAUAUUGAGCUCCACUCUCCAGCUCAGAAGCUUCCUCUGCCUCAGACUCUUGUCUUCCCCACAAAUCACUGCCCCCCACUCCUGAGUCAGACUCCAGGCCGCUUCCCCCUGGCCAUCAAUGUCCUGCCAGUCCCCGACACCUGAUCACUGGCAAUGCUGGCAGAAGCUGAUGGGAGUUGGGAGUCCCAACAGAAUCUGGAGGGCCACAGGGUCCCCAGCUGUGGUUUAAACCAUACUCUGCUUGGGACCUGCCAAGGAGGAAGCUGAAGGGAGAGUGCUCCUUCGUUGCAGCUCUUCAAACAGAGGGUGGGUAAGAGGUGCUCUAGCCCUGGGGCUCCUGCACAGAGCAGAGGAGCUGGACCCAAGGGUGCCAACUGGAAUAAAAUAUUGUGGGGGCCCAGGUAAGCCCUGCCCCACAUAAUCAAUCACAUAAUGCAGUGCAACCACACCAUUUGAAUGGCAGUGCCCAUCAACUUUGGGGGGCUCCAGCCCCCUCAAAUAUUUUAUUGUGGGGGCCAAAGCCCCCAUGGCUCUUAUGGUUGGACCAGAUAGCCUACGAGGCUGUCUUCCACUCUUGUGAGUCUAGGCAGCGCUAAGUAGAAUUAUGGAGAAUGCACUUUGAACAUAAGGUGCAACAAAGCAGAAUACAGUAUGACUGCAUCUGAUGAACAAUUAAUCCGUGUGAUUUCAACCUUGCGUGGUUGAAAGUCGAUUCAUUGAAACUGUCAAAUUACAUGCCCGCAAGGCAGAGAGCUUAAAGGCUCUUUUUGCACUACAUUUUCCCAGCCUUCCAGAGCUUCUAAGCCAGCCUUUCUCAACCAGUGGGUCCCCAGAUGUUGUUGAACUACAACUCCCAUCACCCCUAGCUAGCAAGGCCAGAGCUCAGGGAUGAUGGGAGUUGUAGUCCAACAACAUCUGGGGACCCACAGGUUGAGAACCACUGUUAAGUCCCACUCCACACGUGGGCUCUGGGAUGCUCUUGUGAGAAUGCCCUGCAAAAUCUUCUGAGAACAUCCUGGAAGCCUCACACUAAGCAGGACUUGCCCAGUUAAGCAAGGCGGACAGUUUAAAACUUCUCCACAUUACUUUGGGGGUGGGUAAGGCCCCCUUGGCACAGAGGAUGGUUCUAAGGGGGUGGUUGGGUAUAUGCAUUUUUGUGUGUAUGCCCCAUCCCCAGAAGGUAACCCCCCACACGAGAUGCAAUGGUGUUGUUGUUGUUUAGUCGUUUAGUUGUGUCCGACUCUUCGUGACCCCCUGGACCAGAGCACACCAGGCACUCCUGUCUUCCACUGCCUCCCGCAGUUUGGUCAAACUCAUGCUGGUAGCUUCGAGAACACUGUCCCGCCAUCUCGUCCUCUGUCAUUCCCUUCUCCCUUGUGCCCUCCAUCUUUCCCAACAUCAGGGUCUUUUCCAGGGAGUCUUCUCUUCUCAUGAGGUGGCCAAAGUCUUGGAACCUCAGCUUCAGGAUCUGUCCUUCCAGUGAGCACUCAGGGCUGAUUUCCUUCAGAAUGGAUAGGUUUGAUCUUCUUGCAGUCCAUGGGACUCUCAAGAGUCUCCUCCAGCACCAGAAUUCAAAAGCAUCAGUUCUUUGGCGAUCAGCCUUCUUUAUGGUCCAGCUCUCACUUCCAUACAUCACUACUGGGAAAACCAUAGCUUUAACUAUACGGACCUUUGUUGGCAAGGUGAUGUCUCUGCUUUUUAAGAUGCUGAUGCAGUGGUACUGUAUAAUAAAUCCUCACCAAUAAUACUGAUGGGAGAUGAGAACAUGCAUGCAACAGAAGAAGAAGAAGAAGAGUUUGGAUGUGACUAGCCCAAGGUCACCCAGCAG